GAUGAACGCUAGCGGCAGGCCUAAUACAUGCAAGUCGAACGGUGUCUUCGGACAUAGUGGCGCACGGGUGCGUAACACGUAUGCAACCUACCUUACAUUGGGGGAUAGCCUUUCGAAAGGGAGAUUAAUACCGCAUAAGACAGUAACUGGGCAUCCAGUAGCUGUUAAAGAUUUAUCGAUGUAAGCUGGGCAUGCGACCAAUUAGUUAGUUGGCGGGGUAAUGGCUCACCAAGACUAUGAUUGGUAGGGGAACUGAGAGGUCAAUCCCCCACACUGGCACUGAGAUACGGGCCAGACUCCUACGGGAGGCAGCAGUAGGGAAUAUUGGGCAAUGGACGCAAGUCUGACCCAGCCAUGCCGCGUGCAGGAUGAAGGCGUUAUGCGUCGUAAACUGCUUUUAUACAGGAAGAAACGACUCUUGCGAGAGGCAUUGACGGUACUGUAUGAAUAAGCACCGGCUAACUCCGUGCCAGCAGCCGCGGUAAUACGGAGGGUGCAAGCGUUGUCCGGAUUUAUUGGGUUUAAAGGGUGCGCAGGUGGUUUAUUAAGUCAGUGGUGAAAGACGGUCGCUCAACGAUUGCAGUGCCAUUGAAACUAGUAGACUUGAGUAAAGUAGAGGUGGGCGGAAUUGAUAGUGUAGCGGUGAAAUGCAUAGAUAUUAUCAAGAACUCCAAUUGCGAAGGCAGCUC
RNAcentral lists this ribosomal RNA (689 nucleotides) under Bacteroidota bacterium. RNAcentral describes it as "bacterial SSU rRNA". It matches the Rfam family "Bacterial small subunit ribosomal RNA", at positions 28 to 727 of the family's 1533-position model. The record is from RNAcentral. Lineage: Bacteria; Pseudomonadati; Bacteroidota.